CCGGCACGGGUGAGUAACACGUAUCCAACCUGCCGUCUACUCUUGGACAGCCUUCUGAAAGGAAGAUAAUACAAGAUGGCAUCAUGAGUCCGCAUGUUCACAUGAUUAAAGGUAUUCCGGUAGACGAUGGGGAUGCGUUCCAUUAGAUAGUAGGCGGGGUAACGGCCCACCUAGUCUUCGAUGGAUAGGGGUUCUGAGAGGAAGGUCCCCCACAUUGGAACUGAGACACGGUCCAA
RNAcentral lists this ribosomal RNA (236 nucleotides) under uncultured bacterium. Its description in RNAcentral is "partial 16S ribosomal RNA". It matches the Rfam family "Bacterial small subunit ribosomal RNA", at positions 100 to 334 of the family's 1533-position model. The record is from RNAcentral.